RNAcentral lists this ribosomal RNA (833 nucleotides) under Williamsia sp. RNAcentral's name for it is "bacterial SSU rRNA". Lineage: Bacteria; Bacillati; Actinomycetota; Actinomycetes; Mycobacteriales; Nocardiaceae. The record is from RNAcentral.
UGCAAGUCGAACGAUGAAGCCAGYUUGCUGGUGGAUUAGUGGCGAACGGGUGAGUAACACGUGGGUGAUCUGCCCCAAACUUUGGGAUAAGCCUGGGAAACUGGGUCUAAUACCGAAUAUGACCGAUACUCGCAUGGGUGUUGGUGGAAAGCUCCGGCGGUUUGGGAUGGGCCCGCGGCCUAUCAGCUUGUUGGUGGGGUAAUGGCCUACCAAGGCGACGACGGGUAGCCGGCCUGAGAGGGCGACCGGCCACACUGGGACUGAGACACGGCCCAGACUCCUACGGGAGGCAGCAGUGGGGAAUAUUGCACAAUGGGCGCAAGCCUGAUGCAGCGACGCCGCGUGAGGGAUGACGGCCUUCGGGUUGUAAACCUCUUUCACCAGGGACGAAGCGAAAGUGACGGUACCUGGAGAAGAAGCACCGGCCAACUACGUGCCAGCAGCCGCGGUAAUACGUAGGGUGCGAGCGUUGUCCGGAAUUACUGGGCGUAAAGAGCUCGUAGGCGGUUUGUCGCGUCGUUCGUGAAAACUUGGGGCUUAACUCCAAGCGUGCGGGCGAUACGGGCAGACUUGAGUACUACAGGGGAGACUGGAAUUCCUGGUGUAGCGGUGAAAUGCGCAGAUAUCAGGAGGAACACCGGUGGCGAAGGCGGGUCUCUGGGUAGUAACUGACGCUGAGGAGCGAAAGCGUGGGUAGCGAACAGGAUUAGAUACCCUGGUAGUCCACGCCGUAAACGGUGGGUACUAGGUGUGGGUUCCUUUUCACGGGAUCCGUGCCGUAGCUAACGCAUUAAGUACCCCGCCUGGGGAGUACGGCCGCAAGGCUAAAACUC